GUCGGACUAAUACCGCAUGAAGCAGGGAUCCCGCAUGGGAAUAUUUGCUAAAGAUUCAUCGCUGAUAGAUAGGCAUGCGUUCCAUUAGGCAGUUGGCGGGGUAACGGCCCACCAAACCGACGAUGGAUAGGGGUUCUGAGAGGAAGGUCCCCCACAUUGGUACUGAGACGCGGACCAAACUCNUACGGGAGGCAGCAGUGAGGAAUAUUGGUCAAUGGCCGAGAGGCUGAACCAGCCAAGUCGCGUGAGGGAUGAAGGUUCUAUGGAUCGUAAACCUCUUUUAUAAGGGAAUAAAGUGCGGGACGUGUCCCGUUUUGUAUGUACCUUAUGAAUAAGGAUCGGCUAACUCCGUGCCAGCAGCCGCGGUAAUACGGAGGAUCCGAGCGUUAUCCGGAUUUAUUGGGUUUAAAGGGUGCGUAGGCGGCCUUUUAAGUCAGCGGUGAAAGUCUGUGGCUCAACCAUAGAAUUGCCGUUGAAACUGGGGGGCUUGAGUAUGUUUGAGGCAGGCGGAAUGCGUGGUGUAGCGGUGAAAUGCAUAGAUAUCACGCAGAACCCCGAUUGCGAAGGCAGCCUGCCAAGCCAUUACUGACGCUGAUGCACGAAAGCGUGGG
RNAcentral lists this ribosomal RNA (611 nucleotides) under uncultured Bacteroidales bacterium. RNAcentral's name for it is "bacterial SSU rRNA". It matches the Rfam family "Bacterial small subunit ribosomal RNA", at positions 157 to 765 of the family's 1533-position model. The record is from RNAcentral. Lineage: Bacteria; Pseudomonadati; Bacteroidota; Bacteroidia; Bacteroidales.